This 429-nucleotide ribosomal RNA is filed under the name Chloroflexota bacterium. Its description in RNAcentral is "Chloroflexi bacterium partial 16S ribosomal RNA". It matches the Rfam family "Bacterial small subunit ribosomal RNA", at positions 355 to 776 of the family's 1533-position model. The record is from RNAcentral. Lineage: Bacteria; Bacillati; Chloroflexota.
UGGGGAAUAUUGCACAAUGGGCGCAAGCCUGAUGCAGCCAUGCCGCGUGUAUGAAGAAGGCCUUCGGGUUGUAAAGUACUUUCAGUCGGGAGGAAGGUGGUAAGGUUAAUAACCUUGGCAAUUGACGUUACCGACAGAAGAAGCACCGGCUAACUCCGUGCCAGCAGCCGCGGUAAUACGGAGGGUGCAAGCGUUAAUCGGAAUUACUGGGCGUAAAGCGAGCGCAGGCGGUUUCUUAAGUCUGAUGUGAAAGCCCCCGGCUCAACCGGGGAGGGUCAUUGGAAACUGGGAGACUUGAGUGCAGAAGAGGAGAGUGGAAUUCCAUGUGUAGCGGUGAAAUGCGUAGAUAUAUGGAGGAACACCAGUGGCGAAGGCGGCUCUCUGGUCUGUAACUGACGCUGAGGCUCGAAAGCGUGGGGAGCAAACAGG